This 277-nucleotide unclassified non-coding RNA is filed under the name uncultured Inocybe. RNAcentral's name for it is "partial contains 5.8S ribosomal RNA, internal transcribed spacer 2, and large subunit ribosomal RNA". The stretch from base 1 to 52 matches the Rfam family "5.8S ribosomal RNA", at positions 103 to 154 of the family's 154-position model. Lineage: Eukaryota; Fungi; Basidiomycota; Agaricomycetes; Agaricales; Cortinariaceae. The record is from RNAcentral.
AACGCAUCUUGCGCUCCUUGGUAUUCCGAGGAGCAUGCCUGUUUGAGUGUCAUCAAAUUCUCAACUACAAUGAUUUCUUCAGUGUAGCUUGGAAUUGGGGGACUUUGGCUUCUAGAGAAGUCAGCUCCCCUGAAAUUGAUUAGCGGUACCUUUGUAGACCAUCUACAGGUGUGAUAAUUGUCUACACCUUAGUUGUCUGAAUGCUGCUUCCAACUUGAGUUUUGGAACUCGUGACAAUCUUGACCUCAAAUCAGGUAGGACUACCCGCUGAACUUAA